CAAAAUGACAAAGCAUCCGUAGGACUCCAAGUUAAAUGGAGAGUAAUACCCAGGGGGCAUCUAACUAUAUGGAACCCCUUGGGUUUACUUAUGCUUGCUUUUGGGUUUAACCACUUUAUCUAUUUUAGUUUUAGUAUGAACUAAAAAAAUAUAUUAAUUCGUAUUGCUAACUUUGUGUUUUUAUAUGAACUAAAAAAUUAUUGUGAUGUCUCGAGUUUGCUGCAUUGGUCCGAGUUUGCUGCCAUGAUCCGGGGUUGCUGUCAUGCUCCGGGAUUACUCUCAGGUCCCGAGCCUUGUGUUACUAAAGGCCCAUCACAAUGGCCCUGUGCUGUUUUACUUGAAGUUAAUCAUAUUGUACUUUUGCCUUUUGUACUUUGAAUAUUUCAUUGUUGUUGAUAUCAUUACAGCUAUAAAUCUCUAUCACAUAUGGUCAUUCUUUCGAUUUAGACACAUCUUUCAUAUAUUGUUUUAUUUGUUUCGUUUUGCAGGUUUGGUGGCAUGUCCAUUUGUCAUCAGAUUAUUCAUAAACAUCACCAAUUAGGAAUAUCUUAGUGAAUCACCAUGUACAACCAAACAAUUGAGAAAAAUCACUUUUAAAGGUUCGCUUUGAUAUUCGCUGAUGUGCUAAAAGCUGUUAAACAUUACAAUUUAUUCCAGAUUACUGUUGAUUGAAGAUGCUUGGAGUAAUGUCAUGCAUACAAAAUAUAAUAGUGAAGACAAUGAGGAGGGCAAGAAUUUGG
Molecule: long non-coding RNA, 740 nt
Organism: Helianthus annuus (common sunflower)
Lineage: Eukaryota; Viridiplantae; Streptophyta; Magnoliopsida; Asterales; Asteraceae
Exons: 3
Source: RefSeq, a predicted model, not a curated record